This 253-nucleotide ribosomal RNA is filed under the name uncultured bacterium. Its description in RNAcentral is "partial 16S ribosomal RNA". It matches the Rfam family "Bacterial small subunit ribosomal RNA", at positions 524 to 776 of the family's 1533-position model. The record is from RNAcentral.
UACGGAGGGUGCAAACGUUGCUCGGAAUCAUUGGGCGUAAAGCGCACGUAGGCGGGCCAUCAAGUCGGUUGUGAAAUCCCUCGGCUUAACCGAGGACGUGCAUUCGAAACUGAUGGCCUUGAGUACGAAAGAGGAUCGCGGAAUUCCCGGUGUAGAGGUGAAAUUCGUAGAUAUCGGGAGGAACACCAGUGGCGAAGGCGGCGAUCUGGGUCGAUACUGACGCUGAGGUGCGAAAGCAUGGGGAGCGAACAGG